UACAGAGGGUGCGAGCGUUAAUCGGAAUUACUGGGCGUAAAGCGCACGUAGGCGGCUUGGUAUGUCGGGUGUGAAAUCCCCGGGCUCAACCUGGGAACUGCAUCCGAAACUGCCUUGCUAGAGUAUGGGAGAGGGAAGUGGAAUUUCCGGUGUAGCGGUGAAAUGCGCAGAUAUCAGGAGGAACACCGGCGGCGAAGGCGGCACUCUGGGCCGGUACUGACGCUGAGGAGCGAAAGCGUGGGUAGCAAACAGG
This 253-nucleotide ribosomal RNA is filed under the name uncultured bacterium. RNAcentral describes it as "partial 16S ribosomal RNA". It matches the Rfam family "Bacterial small subunit ribosomal RNA", at positions 524 to 776 of the family's 1533-position model. The record is from RNAcentral.